UCAUUACAGUUAUAUAAUAAUAAAGCCCGAUGUAAACCCGAAUAAAUACACGAAACGAGUUUGAACCUAAAGUAAUGAGGCCCGAUGAUAUAUGAGCUUGAGUCAACCCAAACUCAACUCACAUGGCCCGUUUGUCAACCUUAGGCCAACCCUACAAAAGAAUUACAAGAAAUUGUGACAAGAAAAAUGAGAUGAUACUAUUCACAUAAAUAGCAUAAAGAUUAGGGGGUCAUAUGCAAUAUCUAAAAGCUUAAAAAUUAACUUAUUCUAAUCACAAAAUCGAUUGAUAAAAAAGAGGCUAACGUAGGAAUGGUUAAUGCCACAUAAAAAGAGACAGAAGCCACCAAAAUAAAGACACCCUCAAAUCAUUUGCAUCAUCUCUUAUUUUCUCUCUAGAUACCCGUGCAAAUCCACCAACCAAUUACCAUAUUUCCACGUGGGCCCCAGAAAUCUAGGCAACCAAUCAUUUAUUGCCAUGUCAGCAGAUAAGCCCCUUUACCAUUAACUUUGAAAUUCUCUUCGACUUAUUACUGUUUUCAAAUGUAUGCCCAUGAUUAGGAUUGGAUUAUUUGGUGAUUUACUUAAAUGCCCCUGUACUACAACGUGGAACAACAAAGUCCCCCACUCAUUAAUUAUUGUAUUUUUAUAUUUUAUAUUUAUAAAGAUAUUUCGUUUUUUUUUUUUUUUUUUUUUUUUAUAUAUAUAAUAAAAUAAGAGCAACUACAAAUUGAAUUAGAGUGAAAUUCUUAUUUUUCAUUUCUAUGUAGUAUUUUAAUAUUUCAAUAAAAUUCACUCACUUCAACAAUACAAUAUAUAUAUAUAAAGUAAAUAAAAUUCACAAUUUUGAAAUAUAUUAAUAUUUAUAUUUGAUAAAGUGGUUGUUGGAUUUUUCCAUAAAAAAAUACAUUUAAGAGUUUUUAUGCCUACAAAUAUAUAAUAAUGCAUUUUUUGAACCCAAAAUAUUCAAGACACUAAAAUAACGAACGAUUGAAGGGAAAAGCUAUCAAAUUACGAGUUAUUCUAUUCGAUACGUCCAUUGGAGCUAUUCUUUUAGAUUGAAUGUUUUUGAAGAGGAAUCGAGAUGGACUUACAUAAUUUUCGAAUGAUUCAUAAAAUUUUAUUUUAGGAAAAGGGAAAUAAUUAUACUACUAUAAAAAAUAGAUAAUUUUAUUUUUAUUAUUUGCUCACGAUGAAGCAAGUAGAGAAAUUUCAAUGGCUAAAAAAGAAUUUCCCAAACCUCCACAAGAGUCGAAAAAGGUAGGGGUCUUUUUGUAACAUUAAAUAAUUUGUACUGCGAAAAGUGCAAAUACAGGCAGAGUUAAAAAAAAAAAAAAAAAUUAAAAAAAAUGUAUGGUCCCAUCACCCAAAACACUGUCCUCUCCUCUGUUAUCAUCAUCUCCAUCCAUACCCUUCCCUCCCUCUGAUUCUAGAGAGAGAAACAACUGAGCCUGUGUGUGUGUGUGAGAGAGAGAGAGCGGGGAGUGCGUGUAAAUGUGUGUUUCUGAUUUACACUCAGCAUCUCACCACCUCAUCCUGACCGUUUAAUCUGAUCCUUCCCCGUGACUCACUGUACCCCCAACAUGCUAUAGUAUACUACACCUCUCUCUCUCUCUCUCUCUCUACCUUUCUCUCUCUAGCUAGCCCUCUCAUCCCCCUAUUUUCAUGCUAAAUAUAAAUACAGAGCAUUUCCCCAGUCAUGUAAUUUCCCUUUAUUCAGACCAUUAUUUUUCUUCCCAAUUUCUUUACAUAUUUUUCCAUACUUCUUUCAAUCAAGAUAGCAUUCUACCUUUGAUUCAAAUUCCCAAUGCAUUUUGAUGAAAUAAAUCUUUGAUUUUGGUAAAUCCAAGGUCAAAAUAAACCCUUUUUUUUUGUUUUGGCUUUUACCACUCCAUAUUCUAUUAUAUAUUAUACAUAUAUAGUACCUUUUUUUCCAGGGUUCAGGGUUCUUGUAGUACGCACCUCAUCAAAAACUCCAGUAAUCUCAGACAAAAAAAAUC
RNAcentral lists this long non-coding RNA (1997 nucleotides) under Erythranthe guttata (spotted monkey flower). RNAcentral describes it as "long non-coding RNA (EGUT_LNC003829)". Lineage: Eukaryota; Viridiplantae; Streptophyta; Magnoliopsida; Lamiales; Phrymaceae. The record is from RNAcentral.